Molecule: ribosomal RNA, 207 nt
Filed under: uncultured bacterium
Lineage: Bacteria
Description: partial 16S ribosomal RNA
Rfam family: Bacterial small subunit ribosomal RNA
Source: RNAcentral
CGCGUAGGUGGUUAGGCAAGCGAGAUGUGAAAGCCCCGGGCUUAACCUGGGAACGGCAUUUCGAACUGUCUGACUAGAGUAUGGUAGAGGGUAGUGGAAUUUCCUGUGUAGCGGUGAAAUGCGUAGAUAUAGGAAGGAACACCAGUGGCGAAGGCGGCUACCUGGACCAAUACUGACACUGAGGUGCGAAAGCGUGGGGAGCAAACA